UACGAAGGGGGCUAGCGUUGCUCGGAAUCACUGGGCGUAAAGCGCACGUAGGCGGCUUUCUAAGUCAGGGGUGAAAUCCUGGAGCUCAACUCCAGAACUGCCUUUGAUACUGGAAAGCUUGAGUCCGGGAGAGGUGAGUGGAACUGCGAGUGUAGAGGUGAAAUUCGUAGAUAUUCGCAAGAACACCAGUGGCGAAGGCGGCUCACUGGCCCGGUACUGACGCUGAGGCACGAAAGCGUGGGGAGCAAACGGG
RNAcentral lists this ribosomal RNA (253 nucleotides) under uncultured bacterium. RNAcentral describes it as "partial 16S ribosomal RNA". It matches the Rfam family "Bacterial small subunit ribosomal RNA", at positions 524 to 776 of the family's 1533-position model. The record is from RNAcentral.